This 599-nucleotide long non-coding RNA is filed under the name Monodelphis domestica (gray short-tailed opossum). RNAcentral's name for it is "lncRNA (ENSMODG00000002763.3)". Lineage: Eukaryota; Metazoa; Chordata; Mammalia; Didelphimorphia; Didelphidae. The record is from RNAcentral.
AAGCUGUGCCACCUGCCCCACCCUUUCCCCACUCCCUGUGGGCGUGGGCUGGCCCUUUCACUACAUAAAGGCGUCCACAGCUGCAGCAGCUGUAUUGAGAGGAAGCUUGGAAGCAUCUCAUCAGAUACAUUCCUCCCAAGGAUCCAGACCCCAGCUCCACCCAGUCUUGCCCACUGCAGCCCAAUCAGCCAGCCCCUUCAAGAUGGCCAGCAAGGGCUUCCAGGACCUGAAGAAACAGGCAGAGGAAACUGCCCAGGAAGCGGCAAACACAGCAACAGAGACUGCCCAAAAGGCUGUAAACCAGGCCACAGAGGCUGGACAGAAAGCUGUGGACCACUUGAUCAAGACCACCCAGGAGGGCAUCGACAAAACAACCAAUCAGGCUGCAGAAGCCAUUUCAAGCUUUGGGAAAAAAUACGGGCUUCAGAAAUGAUGGUCUAUGGAAAGAAGAAAAGGAAUAACCCCCCUCUCUCCUCAAGCCCCAAUCCUCACCUCUUCAUCAGGCUAGGCCAUGGCCAGGGCUGCCAUUUUGAAAGGUCCCAUGGAGUCUGAUCUCUUAUUAAAUGAAUUCCUUUCAUGUGGAGGGAAUGGAAACCCCA